AGCUUUGCGCAGAGGCAGCAUCGUAGCCAAUGAGGUUUAUCAGAGGCGCGAUUAUUGUUAAUUGGGAAAAAAAAUGAUGAGAGAGAAUCAUUAAGAGGCGGUUUCCUGC
RNAcentral lists this small nuclear RNA (109 nucleotides) under Myotis lucifugus (little brown bat). RNAcentral describes it as "U4 spliceosomal RNA (ENSMLUG00000020596.2)". The stretch from base 1 to 75 matches the Rfam family "U4 spliceosomal RNA". From Rfam's summary of the family: U4 small nuclear RNA (U4 snRNA) is a component of the major U2-dependent spliceosome. The structure of U4 snRNA from yeast and human has been reported. Lineage: Eukaryota; Metazoa; Chordata; Mammalia; Chiroptera; Vespertilionidae. The record is from RNAcentral.